Molecule: ribosomal RNA, 962 nt
Filed under: uncultured Bacteroidota bacterium
Lineage: Bacteria; Pseudomonadati; Bacteroidota
Description: bacterial SSU rRNA
Rfam family: Bacterial small subunit ribosomal RNA
Source: RNAcentral
AUUGGGUUUAAAGGGAAGCGUAGGCCGGAGACAUUAAGCGUGUUGUGAAAUGUAGAUGCUCAACAUCUGAACUGCAGCGCGAACUGGUUUCCUUGAGUACGCACAAAGUGGGCGGAAUUCGUGGUGUAGCGGUGAAAUGCUUAGAUAUCACGAAGUACUCCGAUUGCGAAGGCAGCUCACUGGAGCGCAACUGACGCUGAAGCUCGAAAGUGCGGGUAUCGAACAGGAUUAGAUACCCUGGUAGUCCGCACGGUAAACGAUGGAUGCCCGCUGUUGGUCUGAAUAGGUCAGCGGCCAAGCGAAAGCAUUAAGCAUCCCACCUGGGGAGUACGCCGGCAACGGUGAAACUCAAAGGAAUUGACGGGGGCCCGCACAAGCGGAGGAACAUGUGGUUUAAUUCGAUGAUACGCGAGGAACCUUACCCGGGCUUGAAUUGCAGAGGAAGGAUUUGGAGACAAUGACGCCCUUCGGGGCCUCUGUGAAGGUGCUGCAUGGUUGUCGUCAGCUCGUGCCGUGAGGUGUCGGCUUAAGUGCCAUAACGAGCGCAACCCCUCUCCUUAGUUGCCAUCAGGUUAAGCUGGGCACUCUGGGGACACUGCCACCGUAAGGUGUGAGGAAGGUGGGGAAUGACGUCAAAUCAGCACGGCCCUUACGUCCGGGGCUACACACGUGUUACAAUGGCAGGUACAGAGAGACGGUCCCUUGCAAAAUGGAUCAAAUCCUUAAAGCCUGUCUCAGUUCGGACUGGGGGUCUGCAACCCGACCCCACGAAGCUGGAUUCGCUAGUAAUCGCGCAUCAGCCAUGGCGCGGUGAAUACGUUCCCGGGCCUUGUACACACCGCCCGUCAAGCCAUGAAAGCCCGGGGGCGCCUAAAGUCCGUGACCGUAAAGGAGCGGCCCUAGGGCGAAACUGGUAAUUGGGGCUAAGUCGUAACAAGGUAGCCCGUAAAGGGCGAAUUCCA